RNAcentral lists this transfer RNA (76 nucleotides) under Sporocytophaga sp. RNAcentral describes it as "tRNA-Lys". It matches the Rfam family "tRNA". From Rfam's summary of the family: Transfer RNA (tRNA) molecules are approximately 80 nucleotides in length. Their secondary structure includes four short double-helical elements and three loops (D, anti-codon, and T loops). The record is from RNAcentral. Lineage: Bacteria; Pseudomonadati; Bacteroidota; Cytophagia; Cytophagales; Cytophagaceae.
GACUUCUUAGCUCAGUCGGUAGAGCACAUCCCUUUUAAGGAUGGGGUCCUGGGUUCGAGCCCCAGAGGAGUCACUA